GAUGAACGCUGGCGGCGUGCUUAACACAUGCAAGUCGAGUGAAGCGCUUAAGUUUGAUUCUUCGGAUGAAGACUUUUGUGACUGAGCGGCGGACGGGUGAGUAACGCGUGGGUAACCUGCCUCAUACAGGGGGAUAACAGUUAGAAAUGACUGCUAAUACCGCAUAAGACCACAGGGUCGCAUGACCCAGUGGUAAAAACUCCGGUGGUAUGAGAUGGACCCGCGUCUGAUUAGCUAGUUGGUGGGGUAACGGCUCACCAAGGCGACGAUCAGUAGCCGACCUGAGAGGGUGACCGGCCACAUUGGGACUGAGACACGGCCCAAACUCCUACGGGAGGCAGCAGUGGGGAAUAUUGCACAAUGGGGGAAACCCUGAUGCAGCGACGCCGCGUGAAGGAUGAAGUAUUUCGGUAUGUAAACUUCUAUCAGCAGGGAAGAAAAUGACGGUAC
RNAcentral lists this ribosomal RNA (450 nucleotides) under uncultured bacterium. Its description in RNAcentral is "bacterial SSU rRNA". It matches the Rfam family "Bacterial small subunit ribosomal RNA", at positions 28 to 478 of the family's 1533-position model. The record is from RNAcentral.